This 1496-nucleotide ribosomal RNA is filed under the name Parosphromenus ornaticauda. Its description in RNAcentral is "partial 16S ribosomal RNA". It matches the Rfam family "Bacterial large subunit ribosomal RNA", at positions 264 to 2597 of the family's 2925-position model. The record is from RNAcentral. Lineage: Eukaryota; Metazoa; Chordata; Actinopteri; Anabantiformes; Osphronemidae.
UGCCAAACAGCUAGCCCCGCCCCCAAAUUCAACAAUAGUUAUUAAUAAACCCACAACCCCUGACCCCACUUACAAAUAAAACAUUCUCCCACCUAAGUAUGGGCGACAAAAAAGGAACAAUGGAGCUACAGAUAAAGUACCGCAAGGGAAUGCUGAAAAAGAAAUGAAAUAACUCAGUUAAGCAGAAAAAAGCAGAGCUUGACCCUCGUACCUUUUGCAUCAUGACUUAGCCAGUCAACUACAAGCAAAAAGCCUUUUAGUUUGUAACCCCGAAACUAAGUGAGCUACUCCAAGACAGUCUAUAAGGACCAACCCUUCUCUGUGGCAAAAGAGUGGGAAGAUCUUAGAGUAGAGGUGACAGACCUACCGAACUUAGUCAUAGCUGGUUGCCUGAGAAAUGAAUAGAAGUUCAGCCCCUUAAACAUUCUCCCCUACUAACGACUCAGACACCGUCCGGCCCCGAAUGAUUAAUGGAGUUAUUUAAAGGGGGUACAGCCCCUUUAAACUAAGAAACAACUUUAUCAGGUGAGUAAAGAUCAUAAUUAAAAAGGUAAGUGUUUUAGUGGGCCUAAAAGCAGCCACCUAGUAAGAAAGCGUUAAAGCUCAAACACACAUAAGCCAAAUAAUACAGAUGACAUCUCCGAGCCCCCUAACCCUAUCAGGCCACCCCAUGCCCUCCCCCAUGGAAGUGACCCUGCUAAGAUGAGUAAUCAGGGGUACGAACCCCUCCUAGCACACAUGUAUAUCGGAACGGACCCCCCACCGAACCUUACCGGCCCCAACCAAAGAGGGUACUGAAUACUAAAUAAACAACAAGAAAAAAUCUCAAAGAAACCCGUUAACCCCACACUGGUGUGCCCACUAGGAAAGACUAAAAGAAAAAGAAGGAACUCGGCAAACACAAGCCUCGCCUGUUUACCAAAAACAUCGCCUCUUGUCAACUAAAAAUAAGAGGUCCCGCCUGCCCUGUGACAAAAGUUUAACGGCCGCGGUAUUUUGACCGUGCAAAGGUAGCGUAAUCACUUGUCUUUUAAAUGAAGACCUGUAUGAAAGGCAUAACGAGGGCUUAACUGUCUCCUUUCUCCAGUCAAUGAAAUUGAUCCCCCCGUGCAGAAGCGGGGAUACAAACAUAAGACGAGAAGACCCUGUGGAGCUUUAGACGUUAAAACAGCUUUUGUCAAAACUUUCCCCUAAAGAAAGUCAACUUAAAACCCCUGUUUUCCUGUCUUUGGUUGGGGCGACCGCGGGGUAACAAACAACCCCCACGUGGACUGAAAGUAUACUUUCACAACCAAGAGCCACAGCUCUAAGUAACAGAACUUCUGACCUUUAGAUCCGGCAAGGCCGAUCAACGAACCAAGUUACCCCAGGGAUAACAGCGCAAUCCUCUUUUAGAGCCCAUAUCGACAAGAGGGUUUACGACCUCGAUGUUGGAUCAGGACAUCCUAAUGGUGCAGCCGCUAUUAAGGGUUCGUUUGUUCAACGAUAAUAGUCCU